Molecule: non-coding RNA, 74 nt
Organism: Physocladia obscura
Lineage: Eukaryota; Fungi; Chytridiomycota; Chytridiomycetes; Chytridiales; Chytriomycetaceae
Source: the annotation of a GenBank genome assembly
GUGAAUCUAGCCAAAAGGUAAGGCAGGAGACUUUGAAUCUCCCAUGUCCAGGUUCGAGUCCUGGGAUCACUACA